AUUGAACGCUGGCGGCAGGCCUAACACAUGCAAGUCGAAUGGUAACAGGAAACAGCUUGCUGUUUCGCUGACGAGUGGCGGACGGGUGAGUAAUGUCUGGGAAACUGCCUGAUUGAGGGGGGUAACUACUGGAAACGGUAGCUAAUACCGCAUAACGUCGCAAGACCAAAGAGGGGGACCUUCGGGCCUCUUGCCAUCAGAUGUGCCCAGAUGGGAUUAGCUAGUAGGUGGGGUAACGGCUCACCUAGGCGACGAUCCCUAGCUGGUCUGAGAGGAUGACCAGCCACACUGGAACUGAGACACGGUCCAGACUCCUACGGGAGGCAGCAGUGGGGAAUAUUGCACAAUGGGCGCAAGCCUGAUGCAGCCAUGCCGCGUGUAUGAAGAAGGCCUUCGGGUUGUAAAGUACUUUUAGUGGGGAGGAAGGGAGUAAAGUUAAUACCUUUGCUCAUUGACGUUACCCGCAGAAGAAGCACCGGCUAACUCCGUG
This 490-nucleotide ribosomal RNA is filed under the name uncultured bacterium. RNAcentral's name for it is "partial 16S ribosomal RNA". It matches the Rfam family "Bacterial small subunit ribosomal RNA", at positions 30 to 507 of the family's 1533-position model. The record is from RNAcentral.